GGCGGAUCGCACGCGAGGGCCGCCCGUGGCGUGCCGAGCCGGGCCCUGCCGUGCCGAGCCCGCGCUGCUUGGGAAACGGGGCAGGCACGCAACGGGGCGGGCAGCACCGCCCCGCCGCUCCCUGCACGGCCCCGGGGGGGCUUUGUACCUUCUCAAACACACGUGGAAAGCCUCCCGCUGCCUGCAAAUCCCAACCCGGAGGAGCAAAGUCCACGGCGGCGGGCAGCCAGGGAAAAAGGCUAAUAAACACGAGCACCCUCUGCACAAAGCAGGACCCGGGCACCGAGUGCAAGGGUGAACAGCUCUGCCAGCGCCUGCACCGUCUCCCGGUUAACCCAGCGUCCCGAUUAAAAGCAAAGCGGUAUUUUUAUCCUAGCCCUCUAGUUUCGGGCUGCCCUUUCGUGUGCUCGGUACAAAGAGCAGCGCAGCGAGGCGGUUUCGCAGCGCUGCCUGAGAACCCCCGGGGAAGCUGCUGGGAGUUGUGGCAGGACCGAGCUCGGCCGCUCAGUGCCACCGAGCCGCGGGCACGGGCACCGGGAGCCGUGCCCAGAGCCCGGGAGGAGAGCGGCGGCGGCUGACGGCGAGGAGAGAUGGCAGGAGACGUGCAGGGAGGGGUCAGGGGAAGGACAGGGUUUGCACCGCACGCGGCAGCGAGGUUAUUUCUGGUGCUGCGUGCACAGCGUGUUAGUUCCUGUUUUCAAGACACAUUGUUUGCGAGGUUUGUUUGGUUUGCUCCCCCCCCCCCCCCUCCCCUUUAUCAAUGUCACAAGGACGAGAUCGUCCUGGGAGAGCAGUCUCAGGGAAAGGAUGUCUGGAGGAGGGAUUUGAAGGUGAAGGCUACCUGGGAGCCAGGGUCAGGAGGUGCAAAGCCCUAACAGGACGGAAACUCUCCAAAGCAGCAUGGAAACGAUAAAAUCAGGGGCAGCACAAGGAAGCAGGGUACUGGCAGCGGGGCAGAAAGGCAGAGGUGAUGGUAGGGGACGCAGAAGGUGGCGCGACGCCAGCCCCGGUAGAAGUGAAAUCGGAGCGUGCUAACAACAGGGGGACGUGCAGGGCAGGAGUCAUAAGGGAGGAGAUCCCAGUGCUCCUGCCGUGACAUUGCCAAAUCAAAGCCAAGCUUUUGGCUGCAGGAGCACAUGAGGUGAAUCAGAGGAGGAAUCUGGAUGAUUAAGCAGCAGCUGAGUGCCAGGAGUGAGGAGCUGUCAAGGAUAAUAUCAAUAGUGUGUGCGUAGAGGACAGCGGGUUUAUUUGCCACGAUAGAAAGGGAUUUGAGAGGGAAUACAAGAAGCUCAUACUGACUCCGAGUUGGCAGCAAGAGAGCUUGGGAAGGUUGCCAGGAAAAGCGUCCCAGAUACAAGGCUGAAGUGAGAAAGAAAUAGGGAGCAGAGGCUGUUUCGGCAGUCAGCAGAUUCGGAAGAGGCACGAAAGGCAGGAGGGCAGGGCCAGCCAGCACGACGUGCUCGGGGGAAGCAGCCAAGGAGAAGCCCAAACGCCUGGGAGAUGGUGCCGAGGGGUUCAAGGUCCUGCGCUGUAAGGCAGCCAAGGGCCUGGGCUCAGCAUAUCUGAAAGAUCACCUAAAGCUCUGGGAUGGAUGUGUCUGAUGGCUCCUAAGGCAAAGCAGAGCCUUAUCCAUACGGGUGAGGUUCGUCUCUGCGGGGCUCAGCAGUUUCCCAGGGGCCUGCUAGGAAACUCCCACGGGAACUCAGAAACCCCAUAAAUCUUUCCCCUCCCCCUGUCCACAAGCAGAUCUGCUCUCUCCUAAUUUAAACACACAAUCUGUAGGGAGGGGAACGUUUAUACUGCUGGCUUACAAUAAAAAAAAAAAAAUAGAAAAAAGACUCCAGUGCACACAUAGCCCUCCCCGCUGAAACAAAGAGUGUGAGAAUGGCUGAAACAAGACAGAUGUUCCUCGCAGCCUUGGCGAGCUACUGGAAGAAGCGUGUAUCCUCCUGUGAUGAAGGAGCUACAGUCACCGUGAAACAGGGAAAGAUAAAGAGGAAAAACAAAUGAAGGAAGCCUGGAUGUUUACAGGAACGGGGAUAUCAAGGAGGAUGGCGAGACUGACUUGAAUUUGGGAGCAAGAUUAGGGCCUGCAUACAUCAUUCUGAGAUCCAGCUGGCCAGGAUGAUGUUGCAGUCUCCCAGCCUGCAAUUAAGUGGAUGGGAUUGUUCAUACGAAGGAGGAUUACUGAGGACAGUCAGGGUUUGCAAGCCCUGAAAUCAUGCCAUGAUACCUAUUGCUGAAACAGUCUGGGAGCUUUCCUCAGGCUCCACCCCAUCUCCUGGUGCUACGGGUGCCCUUUUAAAACGCUAAAUAACAGCAAAUCCUCUGCAGUGGGUUAGGCUGCUCCUUCCUCCACUUCACAGGAUUACCUCUUGAUUUGCGAUUGCAGUGUAAUGUCCUGGCACCUCCUGAUAGCAAAAUGCAAAUGUUGCAUUUCCAUGGCAUGGCCCGACAAUUCCAAUUUAUGCACCACAAGGAGAUAAUGUGUGUGUGCUGAUUGCACGCUGUAGCUACAACCUUGUUAACAUACAGCCCUAGCAUUACAGCUUGGGUGAAAAUACGAAACAAUAAGAAUUUUCUUGCUCUGCUUUAGAGCCUGACCCGUUUCCUCUUACAGUCCUUGACUUCAAAUGGGGUAUGGGCAAGACCCCGUCCAAAAGAGGGGCCUGUAAUUUUUUUACUUGAUAUAGGUAACAUUAGUGAAGUGCAAAAAUGUGGCUGCUGUGCACCAGCAGUGGUGCACAAAGAAAAGUGAGCUCAGCAUCGUGGCCUGUGGCCAUCUCAGGUGGCCUGCAUCGCGCUGCGGCUCCGAUGCUGGCUCAGCUGACAGCUCCUGAGAGCUCGCGUAGCUAAAUGAAUUGUGGCAGGCAUCACCGCCACCACGCGAGCUGGCUUGUGGGGGACCUGGGACAGAAAUCAACAGAGCCACGUUCCAGGGUGGGCUCCUACAGGUUCCUUCAGGUCUCCUACAGCACUUAAGAGCGUGGGGAGCUGCUCACACCACAACUCGUCCCAUCGGGUUGGCUCUCAUUUCGGUGAAUUACCUGUCAGCAAGUCGUGAUUUACAUAAUCUGUGUGGUAUUUGCAAUUAGCCCGAGUGGUUAAGGAAGGAAAUUUUUAGGCAAAACAUUUGCCUAAAGUUCUAGCUUGCUUUGUUCCUUUGAAAAAAGCUCUUGAGGGAUUUGGCACGGUGGUCAGCAAAAGGCCCAGAACUGUUGAGAUGUUUUGGGAGCAGGAGUGGAGACUGAAGUAUCUUAUCAGGGGUAUGCACAAAGGAGUGUUUGUAGCUCUGCUGAGAGCGUGUCUGGUGCCAGCCAGGCUUGGGGUGCAGCUUUCACCAGCACCGUGUCCCCUCUGCCAGGCUCCAAGGGACGAUCAGCACGUGGAACGGCUUCAGGUCGGAUUUCUGCCCCGCUUCGCUCCCCGAUAAGGCUCGGGAUAAGUUAAGGUCCGGCUGUUUACCGGAGCCUGGGGCUCACGGUGUAUGUUUUAGCUGCCUAGCAGCUUGUCUCCAGGGAGAGGUGGGAGGUCAGAAGUCCAGGGGCAGCCCAGCGUGGAGGGCUGGCCGUGUCGUGCAGCACUCUGCGAGUACAAAGUGCUGCGAAGGGCUGAAACCAGCUUGUCUCCCUCACCUGACAGCAGUGCGCCCGGGCAGGAGAGCCAACAAAUAAAACUUGACCCAUAAGAGGAAAGAGACGAUUGUGAAAUUGGACAGCAUUUGCCUGUCACUAUGGAGUCACUAAGGGAACAGGCAUAUUUUCUUCCUGUUUACAUAAUAUUUCACCAGUAGCUUUGCACCAGUGAACUGCGGCAGCAAUUUCUGAGUGACAUCGACACGCCGGGGUGCCACAACUUGCCAGAGCUUUUUCUGUGGUACGCUCUGAAAUAGAGGGUCUGCGGCAGGCAGGGGCUGGCCGUGCUGAGCCUGGGCUCACCACAGCAUCCUGUGGAGCAGGAGGCUGAGAGGAGACGUGGGGGUUGCCUCCUACUUCUUGAAAGCCCACGGAGGCUGCAGCCGCUGGGGUACAAGUUAGGGCAGACUGGAGAGUUGCCCAAAUACACCACAGGGGUGACAUUGCUCCCUGGGUAACGUGGGACAGCGAGGGACAACAUUUGUGACGGGAAGAGGCAGCGUCCCCACCUGCGCCAGUAAGAAAGGCAGGCUCCAGGCAUGUGGCUGUCACAGGGCAUUAGUCACGUCCUGAGCCACAGGAAAGCUGUGGAGAAGAGCAAACCUCACAUCCUCCAGCUUACAGGCUCCUUUCACAGCCAAUGUUUUUCUUCCCUGCAGAACAGAAAAUUACAGAAAACUGAGCCCCCCCGUGCUGCUGGUUGCUCUUUGUGCAGUAAAUGGUUGAGUACACCCCACAAUACACCGGCAGCUACUGGCAGCAUCGUAUCUCAAAGCCCAGGAACAGCACCCGCACACAGCCUGGGGAUCAGCACUCCCUCGUGGGAUACAAGUCACCUUCUGCACAUUAAAUAUUGAUAUAGCUGUCACGCCUAGAGGCCCCAUCAGGAUUAAGGUCCACAGCGCUCGGUGCUCUGAACGCCCGCGAUAAGGGCCGGUCCCUGCCCCGAAAGAAUGCAGCCCCAGCGCGGCCGUGCCGGUGGCCCUGGGGAGGUUGUUUGCCUGGGCUGUCCCGCCGUGCCCACUUCACAAAGCUCCUGUUUGCUCACACACCAGGCGUGUUAUCGGCAGUGCCGGAGGGCGGAGGGCUCUGCCUCGGUGCCAGGCCCUGGCUCCUGCUGGUUUUUGCAGCCCCUCUGCUGGGAGCGACCGCCCGGUGUGAGGCACGCUGCCCUGCCACUGGGCAGACUGGGAAGGAGUCGAGCCACAAAACCAAAACCAACCCAAACAGCCCAGGGGGAGCUUUCUGCAUCGAAAAGCAGCUCUUCUCCUGAAACAACCAUUACAAGAAGGGGAUUUCAGGUAGUCAGAAGCACAGCCCGUGGCCGUGGGAGGUCCGCAUUCAAUUCCUGUUCCUCAGACAUCCUGGGCCACUGACUCAGCCCCUGCCUUGUGCAACCCGCCAGCUAUCAAACCCUGCAGCUUCUCACAGGGGUGCUGCAGGCAUUAAUAAGUCAGGGAGGUGACACCGUGUCGGGCUGGUGGCCUGUAGCAGGUGGUGAGACAGGGCUGCUUGCUCAGUGCUGGCCUUUGUGGCAGCCAUGGCCUCCACAGCAUGGGGCAGGAAGCAGGGCCCAUGCCUGGACGUGACCAAGCCCGGCACCGAGGGCAGCAGCUCCUGGUCAGAGCACACCAUCCAGGCAGCCUGCCCGGGUGAGCAUGAGUCCAUUCACUAGAAAUUGACUUCAUAUCAGGGAGCUGACGUGAGCCUGCAGGGCUCCUGGCCUCCUGGUCCCCAGCACGGAGCCUGUAUGGAGGAGCCGCUCACUGCAGGCCAGGCCACGGAGGAAUAAAUCGAGGCCAGUACCUGCUGCUCCGGCUGCAUUUGUGCCUCUCGACUCCCUGUCGCUGCUGCCUGUGACCUGGUUCUUCACACGCACAUUCCUCUACAUCGCCACGCUGCAGUGAGAACAGCGCGCAGGCAUUUGUGCCAGCACAUUCGCUGGGAUUUCAUUAGCCUCCAGGGAUCUGCUCAUGAGAAAUGAAUGUAGGUCUCGCAUCAUCUGCUCACUGGCUGCUGCCUCGCUCUCUGUUCAUUUCCAGCAGCCCACGACUCGCCUGGGCUGACCUGCUGGCAGGGCUUUGCCAGGUCACCCCCGCGACAGCAGCACUCGUGGGGUGCCUUGGAGAGCGCUUCUGAGGGUCACAGGGCUGCCCCAAACAGCUGCUGAACCCCGGGAGGUGGCUUCAUCCUGUGAGAUAAAGCACAGCUUUCUGCCCCCUGGUCCUGGAACUGGCUGCCACAGUGCUGCUGGGCCAUGUCUGUGCGAGCUGUGGUUUUGGAGGGGGUGUGAGGAGCCGUGCGGGCUGGCACAGCGCUCCCCAAGCCUUGCCCCACAGGGGCAAUGAGCCCGGCCACACCACGGCCCUGCUCCCCGCCUCCCCCUGCACGGCGAGGUGCCUGGAGCUGCCUCCUGGUUUAUUUUAAGGAUGGCAAUGACUAACGUUUAGGUAUCGCCUUUCAGAACUCUUAAAAAUAGAUGUUAAAAAAUUGCUUCGCGUAAGCCUGCCCACGUAAUGCCUUCCUGGCUGAGAGGAAGGGACCGGCCGCAGCAGCAACAGGACAUGAGUGUUGGGGACUUAGCUUUGAUCCGGAGAGGCCUAAUUGCAAGUUAUUUAUACAGAGCCCUUUUCCUUCUCAGACUGCACAGGAUCAGCAGACCGAUUCCCAUUUCACAGCAAAGCAGGCAGGUCGCUCACGGCCUGGCAGCGCUGGAAGGGGACCCAGACCUCUGGAUGCUUCAGUAGCUUUCAGCCUACCCCAUUGCAGCUUCCUUGCCUUGUAAUAAACGUGUGAUCAGCAAAAGGUAACUAUAUCAAGGCCCCAAAGGCAGUUAGUCAUAGAGGAAUCAUCGUUUAUGUUUUCAAUCAUUUCAAGCUCCCUGCAGAACUCUGCCUUCUGCCAGUUCUUCUUUACGGGGAUGAGAAAGCAGCCCCCUCCCUGCGUGCUCGCACACCAGCGCUUCCCAGCUGCGUGCAUCAUUGGUGAAUCAAACAGAGACAAAAUUGCUCGCUCGUUUCCAGUUAAGCCUGGCGUGUUAUAUGGCAUUACAUAACAUGACAAGAAACCAAUGCAGCUAAUCUGGCGUGUCACUGCUGCGAAGGGAAAUUAAAACAAAUACAGAUCUGUGAAAGAAAGCCCAUUUUUGGCAACAGGCAAGGGUUUCCUGUCUGACUGCUAGCUCCAAAGUGCAAAUCAUCUAUUUUAUGGUAGCAAAGGGAAAUCUCAGCAAUCCAUGCCACAGCGUUAAAAUACAGGAGUCUAAAAAUAGCAUUGAAAAAGCUGGGCUGGAAAUGACAAUAAAAACAAAAAAAGAAAAACUUCCCUUUUUCUUCGCUUGAUUUUUUGGAAAUAAGGAAGUUAAGUUCAACCCCACGAAGUAGGUGUAAAAUGGCAGAGCCUGGAAGCCACGGCUAGGACAGCAGAGGGGCCGGGCAGCCUGUGGGGGUCAGCUGCGGGAGCCCGCUCCCUCCGUGGGAUGGUUUGUGCCGGAGUCCUGCCCCUGGAAGAAGGCGAUGUAAACUAGGCUGGGCACCACCGGCCUGGGAAGUGCAGGCAGGCAGGGAGAGGACUGAUGGACCGGCGACAGCCUGAGAUUAAAGAGGACACCGCCAAUCCCUUCUUCCCUGGGCAUUCUCAUGGCUCUCCCUGUCCUCCCACCCAGUCCCUGGGGCCUGGCUGUCCCCUUCCUCUGCUCACCCAGAUAUAUUUGGAGGCUUCGCUGCCUGCCACCGCUCUGGGCAACCCUGAACUCAGCCCUGAGCCCGCCUGCCCCAGCUGGCACGCCAGCUACAGCUUCUCCUGCAAACUAGAGAAAAAAAUGCAAGUGAGCCCCAGCCAGGGCACGGCACGAUUUAACGUAACAGAAUUUCAAAAGCAAAGUGGUGAAAUGCGAGCGGUGCUCUCAUAGCAGUGCUCGGCCUGCGUGUCGGCUGGGGGAAGAACAAUGAAUGAUGUCUGCCCUGCCGCGAGCCCAGAGCAGCGAGACCUGUCUGGUGCAGAGCAGAGAUGCAGACAGAGAUAAGUGGAUGCUCAGGGUGAGCAGUCAGGAGAAAAAAAUGGCAAUUCAGAGAUAUGUAAUCACGGCAGCACGGCUUUUAGAGUUCAGCUUUCUGUUCAUGUGCCUCAUUGGAGCAGCAUAAAUCCUCAUACAGAAACGUUUGAAAGGGCAAAUAAUCAAUUUAAGAAUGGAAAAUAUUCCAUGGAGAAGCAGACAAGAACAGAAAUGCUUUUGAAGCUGACUGCAGGGAAGGAAAGAGAGCAUCCGGGCAGUCCUGAGACUUUCCAGGCCCUCGAAAGCUCCCCAUGAAUGCAGCUUGCUUUCAUUUGAUAGAGAUAAUGAGCUGAGCUUGGGGGGGCUGCUCACUGCCCCUCGUGCUCCGGCAGUCGCCUCUCCGUCGGUCGGGCUGUGAGGGGCGAGGAAUUGCCACGGGACAGGGGCUGUGCUGGGGAGGAUGCAGGGCAUGCUGCAGGAAACCAGCUGGAUGAAAUUCCUGCUGCUGCUCAGGGACAUCUCCCUAUUCAAAACCUGCGUUUCUUCACGAUUUUCAACUUUUUCUCUUUAAAAAUGAGGCUGAUUUCCCAUCGCUGGCCUUGCAGGGACGCGAUUGCAGAGCCAAGCCGAGGAAUUUGUGGGCGCUGCUGGUGCUUACAUAGGACAGCCUGCUUUAAAUAAUUACAUGGCUUUAAAUGUCUGCCUCCAUGGUGUGUAUGGUAAGAGAGGGAUGAGAAAGAGCUUUGUUGCUGAACCUGCCUUCCUCUUGCAAUGGCAUCGCUCAAACCCAUGGGGAGAAGAAGAAACAAGGAAGAAUCUUUCCUUGCUGAGGGCUCUUCACAUGCCAUUGGGAGACCACACAUGAAACACAUCCAGCGUUAUCCCACCAUAACGUGGGAAAAAUCAAGCAUCCUUAGGCCAGAGGAAUGAUGUCAGAGGCUGCAGGUUUCUCAUAGUUGUCUUAAAUACACAGUGUCCUUGAAAAUACCAGCUCAGUUGGCUCCGGGCUGGGGGCUCGCAGCGUUAUCCCUGGAGAUGGGCAGUCCUCGCACCGCUGCUGUCCCCAGGAGAUCCUGGGGGUGCUCUCCUAUGCGUGACUCCCUUUGCAACCCCCUCUUCUUUGGCAGGUCGAGAAAGCAAAGUUUAUGUGAAUUUCGAGUGUUUUUCCCUUGGAAACUGUUUCUCAGGGAAUUACACUGUGUGAGUGGAAGAGGUCAGGAGCAGGCGGUGGGAUAUUUGUACAGCUGGCUGAUCACAUUGCCUUUGUAUAGUUUUUCCAGAGGUCUAGUUAUAAAUGGUCCCACCAAUUCAUUCUCAAACCUGACUCGUUAAAAAUCAUUAAGUAAGCACUUUGGUAUGGCAACAGCCAGGAUUGCUUUUCCAUAUUUGUUAGCAUUCUUGCUAAUCCAUAAAAUUUAGCAACUCGGAAUGAAAACCACAGUCAGAAAGAGCUAACGAGGUCCUCCUGUAAGGGUCUGUUCUGCUCUGGGCUGGUGUAUACAACUCCCAUUAACGUUAAUUGGCCUUGCAGAGGCACAGCAAAAGGAAAAUGCACCCUAGAAGACCAAAUUAUUAUUUUUUUCUUUCUUUCUUUCUCGAGGGGUAAUGCUCCCCUGCUUGGCAGCUGGGAUUUGCUGAGAGCUUUGUUUAAUACAACGGCAACAUCUCUUUUUGCUUUCCCUCCCUUCUGAAAGCCACGAGACACUUUCAGACACAAGGAUCACCAAAGCAGUUCAGGCACGUUACUUAUGCCAUAACAGCACGCGAUUUAAUGCAAAAAGAGAAGCAAAACCCCAGGCCACUACUGGCACCCCGUAUCAGGAGAGCACCUAGCAUCUGCUUAACUCUAAGCGUGCAUUUGAGCUGUGUGGAAAGCGAUAGGAUUUAAACACAUUUCUGGCUUGGACCUCCAUGAGGGCUGGUGAAAUCACCAAAAAGUCCCAGCUGGUGAUGUGAGAUGCUGGCACUAGGAGUUGUGCUGCCUGCACUGGCUGGUUUGCAUAGGGCCAGACCGGCUGCGGGGCAGGGCUGCGGGGAGAGGAGAGGAGAGAGCCGGCAGAAGCCAUCGGGGGCUCCUCGGGGACACGGCAGCCCUGUGCCACCGGUGGCUAAUCUGUGCAAUCUGCCUCUGUCACCAGGCUAAUCCCCCCGGCUCACACUCCCACCGAGUCUGUUCCUCCUGCCGCUCGCCCCCGGCUGGGCUCUAAGCCUCUUAGGUCAGAGAUCAUCUCGCAGCUCGCACGCUGCCAUCCGCUGCGGGAUCCCCGUCCUCUGCUGAUCCACCACACCACUCGUUUCCAUCGCUGCUCCUUCCCAAGGCAACCUCCGCACUCUUUGGCAUCUUAUUCUUCAAGAACGACCGCUGCCGUGCUGUUAUCGCAGCCCCUCAUCCCCAGCACCACAGCAAGCGUGCCCUCGUGCUACGCAAGGCUUGUGGCUCCCCUGGCGUGGAGCUCUCAGUAAUUGUUGGUGUGUGUGCAUUAUAGGGGCUAACGGCCUCCAGAACGUGGUAAAAAAAACGUAGGCUCCUAUAAACACUUCUGCGGUUUUAUUGAACAUUUCUGAAAUCUGCUUCACAUGCUUAAUGCCCUGCGUAUGGGGACGGCAGCAGGGAGGGAGCGAGCACCCGCAGCAUCUCCGGCAGCUGCAGCCUUCUGACUUCAGCAGAUCGCAGCUGAAGAUUAUCUGGAAAAGACAUCAGGCAGCGCAUCGGCCUCACCGCUAUCAGGGCGAGAACUACAGCCAUUUAGUCUGACGAAGCAAACCCUGAGUUCAUGGGAAAUAAACAGGAAUCGGUCUCCAUAGCGGUAUUUACUGCAAAAUUUCCGUACCAAGGCCUUUGCACAGCCUGGCACAACAGGCGUGCUGUAAGGGCAUUUUCAAUAAAAUCCUGUCCCGGUGGGCAGCCCUGUGAACCCCUGCACAAACCUGAGCUGCGGGAGAUUUCUCUCAUGGAGGUCCCGGUUCUUGUACAUCUGUGCGUGAUUUGUCUUGGCGUGCAAAACAAAAGAAAUCCUGUGCAUUAUUGAAAUAUCAGUGCACUCAAACACCCAGCCUGACUUUUUCCAUGAAGAAAAGAGCAUAAAAUGCCUUACAACCUGAUCCGCAACAUUAUCACAGCCCUUUAAAUUCUUACCCUGCAUCCCAGCUCGGAGAGAAACUCAUGGAAAAACUGCAUCUUUUGGAAAAAAAAAAAAAAAAAAGGAAAAAAAAAAAAAAGGAAAAAAAAAAAAGAAA
Anas platyrhynchos (mallard) is the source of this 10866-nucleotide non-coding RNA. NCBI's taxonomy places the organism in Eukaryota, Metazoa, Chordata, Aves, Anseriformes, Anatidae. The record is from RefSeq and is a predicted model, not a curated record.